CCCUUUUCCUUCCAAACAACCAAAACCGAAACUCCCUGUCCACCCUUUCUCUCCCUUCAUUUUCUCUUCCCUUCUUUCCUUUCUUUUCCAUUACUGUAAUUCAACCAACCAAACCACCAAAUUCUCCGAACGAUCCUCUCUAUCCGUAACCGUCACCCUCCAAAAUCUCACAGUCACAGACCAAUCAAAUCCAUCCACCUCAUCAAAUACUGUAACCAGAAUGAAUGACAUCCUCCACCACCAAUACCACCGCAACCACCACCACCAAAACCGUGAACCCCCAUUUAACCUUCGAACACAAGCGGUACGCUUUUCUCGCCACGUGUCCUUUUAUUCCUCUCUCUCUGAUCCAUGACAGUUAUGAUCAGAUCCUUUUCCCCUUUUUUCAGUGAAAAAUAUUUAGACUGUUCUUUUUUUUCUACUCCGAAUUUUUAUACGCGUUUAUUGAUUUGGAUUUUGAUAAUGUGAGAUGUGAUUUAAUUCUUUUGAAAACAAAUUUGAGUGGCAAAUAUGAGCAUGUGUUGUUUUCUACCGUAACUCGGCAAUCUUCGGAUGCCGAUUUCAGAGAAAAAAGAAGUUUCAUGGAACCUGGUGUGACAUUUGUCCAAAUUGAGUGGAAAAUAUGAGCAUAGGUUGUUUUCUACCGUAACUCGGCAAUCUUCGGAUGCCGAUUUCAGGGAUGCGUAUGGAUUUGCUGUGAGGCCUCAGCAUGUACAAAGAUACCGAGAAUCUGCUAAUAUCUACAGGGAAGAAGAGGAGGAAAGAUCAGAUAGGUGGAAUGAUUUCUUGGAACGCCAAGCAGAUUAUUCUCAAUUGCUUACCAAUGAGAUGCCCUCGGAGGGAAUAAAGGAGGUCUCGCACAUUGAAGUUGCAGAGGAUGGGAAUAAUGAAGCACGAAAGGGAGUUGAAGGAGAUGAUUUAUGCAAAAAGAAGUUGGGUUCUGAUAGUCUGUCUGCUAAGGAUGAUGCAGAACAAGAGAAGGUGCUGCCAGCACCAGAGAAAAGAGGUCGUCAAACUGCAAAAUUUACCUAAAUCAAAUAAUUAAAGAUAUUAUGGUCACAUUACUUAUAUACUCUCCCAAGUGAUUUUCUCGACAUUAUAAUUUCUCCAUAAAACUUUUACCCAAUGAAAUCUUGUUUCUCA
Long non-coding RNA from Gossypium raimondii (Peruvian cotton), 1143 nucleotides. RefSeq lists it as uncharacterized. The transcript is spliced from 4 exons. The record is from RefSeq and is a predicted model, not a curated record. NCBI's taxonomy places the organism in Eukaryota, Viridiplantae, Streptophyta, Magnoliopsida, Malvales, Malvaceae.